This 90-nucleotide transfer RNA is filed under the name Enterobacteriaceae endosymbiont of Donacia proxima. RNAcentral describes it as "tRNA-Leu". It matches the Rfam family "tRNA". Rfam says of the family: Transfer RNA (tRNA) molecules are approximately 80 nucleotides in length. Their secondary structure includes four short double-helical elements and three loops (D, anti-codon, and T loops). Lineage: Bacteria; Pseudomonadati; Pseudomonadota; Gammaproteobacteria; Enterobacterales; Enterobacteriaceae. The record is from RNAcentral.
GCGGAAGUGGCGGAAUUUGGUAGACGCACCAGAUUUAGGUUCUGGCUAUUUAAAUAAAAUAUAGUACGAGUUCAAGUCUCGUCUUCCGCA